CGCGCCUAAACAAGGUUGGCGAGUUGGGUGCUGUCUUAUCGUACGAUGUGGAUGGUUUUUUGCACUUAUUUCCAAUUGUUUGCGCGAAGAGGACGCAUCGUUUCGAAACUUCCGACUGGUGGUGUGUUCAUUCCUCCUGCACUGUUGAUCCUGUACUCUUGAGUUCCUGUUCCUCUGUGCGCUGCAAAAAGUCGAUACCGCCCUCACCCCGCCAGCAACCAUGUCUGAUAAGGUCCGUGUGUGCAUCGUCGGUUCCGGAAACUGGGGAUCGGCCAUCGCCAAGAUCGUGGGCGCCAAUGCCAAGCGGCUGGCCACGUUCGAGGACCGCGUCACGAUGUACGUGUACGAGGAGAUGAUCGAUGGCAAGAAGCUAACGGAAAUCAUCAACACGACGCACGAGAACGUCAAGUAUCUGCCUGGACACAAGCUGCCCGAGAACGUCGUCGCCGUUCCGGAUGUGGUGGAAGCUGCCAAGGAUGCCGACAUUCUGAUCUUUGUCGUGCCGCACCAGUUUAUCCGUGGACUGGGCACGCAGCUGCUGGGCAAAAUCAAGCCGACGGCCGUCGGUCUGUCCCUGAUCAAGGGCUUCGAUGUUGCCGAGGGCGGUGGCAUGGAGCUGAUCUCGCACCUGAUCACCAAGCAUCUGAAGAUCCCGUGCUCGGUGCUGAUGGGCGCCAAUCUGGCCGGUGAGGUAGCGGAGGAGAAGUUCUGCGAGACGACCAUCGGCUGCCGGGACAUGAAGAUUGCGCAAACCCUGCGCGAUCUCUUCCUGACGCCAAACUUCCGCGUGGUCGUGGUGGACGAUGUCGAUGCGGUCGAGAUCUGCGGUGCGCUCAAGAACAUUGUGGCUUGCGGUGCCGGAUUCGUCGAUGGCAUGGGACUGGGCGACAACACGAAGGCGGCCGUCAUUCGGUUAGGUCUGAUGGAGAUGAUCAAGUUCGUGGAUGUGUUCUACCCGGGUAGCAAGCUGUCGACGUUCUUCGAGAGCUGCGGCGUUGCUGAUCUCAUCACUACGUGUUACGGUGGCCGUAACCGUAAGGUGUCGGAAGCGUUCGUGAAGACGGGCAAAACGAUCGUAGAGCUGGAGAACGAGAUGCUCAAUGGACAGAAGCUGCAGGGCCCGAUCACUGCCGAGGAGGUGAACUUUAUGCUGAAGAGCAAAGGCAUGGAGGAUAAAUUCCCACUAUUUACCGCCAUCCACAAGAUCUGCACCGGUGCGGUGAAGCCACAAGGAUUCCUGGACUGUCUGCGCAACCACCCGGAGCACAUGACACCAUGGGCAAAGCUCUAGAGAAAUGUCGCACUUGUUGUUACUCAAGCCAAACCAUUUCUCUGUAACAAUAAUAACAAUCACACACACCACCACCACCCAAUAGCAAUCGAUCGCAAUUUUCGCGUGUAGUAGCUAAUCACAAUUCCUUCCCCCAUUUGAUUCUUGUGUCAGUCAGGCAAGAUCAGUCAGGGAUCACAAUCAGAUCUCACAACAUAGCUAAAGGAUAACGCUACUACUAUUACUACUACUACUACUACCGCUACUACUACUUACCCUUACCUUCCAAAACACGGCUCAGAAGGUUGUGAAAUUUGCAUUUAUUUUGAGUUGGCAAAAGCAAACGAUUUUGCUGAUAAUACCAAAUAUCGAGCCAAGCUAACACAUUCCCUGUUUUUAGAAACAUUUUAUGAUAUUAUUUUCUAUGUUUAUUUUCUACCUAACAGUAAGCGUUAAAGUGUUUCUUUUAGACUGGUUUGUUUUGUUUCUGUAAUGAGAUUAAAAUUACCAAAAAUUUUAAUUUUUUUUUACAAUAUUGCUUCCACAAGGAUAGCUGUUGGGGCAGUGGGUUUGAAAUUGGCGACUAGUGGGGCUUUUGCUAUUCAUCAUUUUCCAAUACGUUUAGAUAGGUCAAGAGAGAGAGAGAGAGGUGUGCGAGUUGUUAAACCAAUCCAAAACGUCCAUCCAUCGUCGCCGAAAUUGGUUUUAGUGUUACAAAACAAAAACAAUCCUGCAUGAUAUGUGAUACGAAAGCUGAUUUGAAAGUGAAUAAACAUCAACAGUUAUUGGGACAUUCGAUUGGUAUUCAAUUGUUGAGAAAUGCAAAACAAAUCAAAAGAUGUGAGGGACCAAAUUCACUUUUUCUCUCAUAACAUAAAACCCCCCUGUGUAAUUCCCGUGUCGUAUGUAAUUGUCCAUUCCUUCUGGUUCUUCUGUUGUCCUGUUUCUACUGUUUUGUUUUUGGACAUAAUUUCCAUUGCGUUUAUCGUUCACAUCUUCGUGCUCAUCCGUCCAUCAUACAUCUGCACCGAAUGAAACCGUUUCCCGUAGACCGCCCUGUGUUUCCCCCUUACGUGUAUGCUCUCCAAUUGGCGAACCAUCAUAGCUGUUUCUUGCACCCUAAUUGUGUUAAGCAACAAAUUCGCUAGUUUUGUAACGUGAACUAAUUGUGUUUUUUCCUUUGGACCUCUGUUCCGCUCGAAUCACGUCCCGGUGAAAGGCAAAAGUUUUCCUAAAUCCACCGUGAUACGCUAGUACGAUCGGGAGCAACUACUAAACGCGCGUCGCGUCGUGCAUCGAACAGCACCCCGGCGCUGAUAUAAUUAAACUAUCUGACAUUAGAAGAUGUUGCAAAACUUCCUCCGACCCGAUCACCCCAUGAAACAGGAAACACGUGGCGUGAAAAUUCAUUGCCACCCACCCCUCCCUCUCGCCCUCGUCCCUCGUGGAAAUGAAAAUCGAAUCUUAGGUGAAGCGAAUUUUAGAACUUUCUAUUUGAUAAAUGUUGUUAUAGCAAAAUGGUUGAAGGCCGCUGUACAUAGGACGUAAUAAAUUCGAAAAAUGUAGACAUCGCGAAUAGA
RNA transcript from Anopheles merus, 2850 nucleotides. It is a transcript of the gene named glycerol-3-phosphate dehydrogenase [NAD(+)], cytoplasmic, with no coding region annotated. The record is from RefSeq and is a predicted model, not a curated record. The transcript is spliced from 8 exons. NCBI's taxonomy places the organism in Eukaryota, Metazoa, Arthropoda, Insecta, Diptera, Culicidae.